This 1052-nucleotide small RNA is filed under the name uncultured Pelagibacterales bacterium. Its description in RNAcentral is "bacterial SSU rRNA". The stretch from base 1 to 659 matches the Rfam family "Bacterial small subunit ribosomal RNA", at positions 867 to 1533 of the family's 1533-position model. The record is from RNAcentral. Lineage: Bacteria; Pseudomonadati; Pseudomonadota; Alphaproteobacteria; Candidatus Pelagibacterales.
CACCGCCUGGGGAGUACGACCGCAAGGUUAAAACUCAAAUGAAUUGACGGGGACCCGCACAAGUAGUGGAGCAUGUGGUUUAAUUCGAAGAUACGCGCAGAACCUUACCAACACUUGACAUGUUCGUCGCGACUUUAAGAGAUUAAAGUUUUCGGUUCGGCCGGACGAAACACAGGUGCUGCAUGGCUGUCGUCAGCUCGUGUCGUGAGAUGUUGGGUUAAGUCCCGCAACGAGCGCAACCCUCACUUUUAGUUGCCAUCAUUUAGUUGGGCACUCUGAAAGAACUGCCAGUGAUAAGCUGGAGGAAGGUGGGGAUGACGUCAAGUCCUCAUGGCCCUUACGUGUUGGGCUACACACGUGCUACAAUGGCAUUUACAACAGGAAGCAAAAACGGCGACGUUAAGCAAAUCCUAAAAAAAUGCCUCAGUUCGGAUUGUACUCUGCAACUCGAGUACAUGAAGCUGGAAUUACUAGUAAUCGCGGAUCAGCGCGCCGCGGUGAAUACGUUCCCGGGUCUUGUACACACCGCCCGUCACACCAUGGGAGUUGGUUCUACCUUAAGGCAAAGGUUAAAACCUUUGACCACGGUAUAGUCAGCGACUGGGGUGAAGUCGUAACAAGGUAGCCGUAGGGGAACCUGCGGCUGGAUUACCUCCUUUCUAAGGAUGAUUAAAAAAAAUUUUUUAAUCUAAAUAAUUAACAGGUUAAUGUUGACCGUCCUCAUUUCUCUUUUCAAUAUUGUUACUCUUGGUCUCUAAAUACGGGCCGGUAGCUCAGUUGGUUAGAGCACACCCUUGAUAAGGGUGGGGUCGAAAGUUCGAGUCUUUCUCGGCCCACCAAUUAAAGAUCAUGGGGGAUUAGCUCAGCUGGGAGAGCGCCUGAUUUGCAUUCAGGAGGUCAGCGGUUCGAUCCCGCUAUCCUCCACCAAAACACUUAGUUAUAAAAAAUUGUGAAUAAUUAAUAAUUAAUAUCAAUAUCUAUAUCCGAACAUUAGUAAUGUUAUUAGCUAAUGUUCAAAAUAAAAAUUUGAUUCAACACAGAAUUUUUUUCUG